Molecule: long non-coding RNA, 1969 nt
Filed under: Schistocerca americana (American grasshopper)
Lineage: Eukaryota; Metazoa; Arthropoda; Insecta; Orthoptera; Acrididae
Description: uncharacterized LOC124556511
Source: RNAcentral
UCGGACCGCGACCAGAUGUGUCCACUAGUUCCUCCCUUUGGGGGCGCAGUGGCUGUCAGUUUAACUGUGGCAGCCUCCUGUUGCCGUAGCGAGUUUGAGUUUGGUGUACCCUUUAGAUGUAGGCUUUUGGAGAAAUAAAACCUCCACCAGUUACUGGAAUGAGUCUUUCCCUUCGAAGGUUUUCUCCCAACACCAUCGGACGCGCCACUUUUGCUCAUUUCCGAUCACGACCAAGUCCAGCACGUACAAAGUGGUAUCAGCUGAAAUGGGAUAAGCUCACCUUUACGUCCGGUUGACACGUUUCCGUCUGCGGAUUGUUGCCGCUUCAAUCUGAUGGAUACGAGCUGGCAGAGCCUGUUGGCCUGGUAGUUAGUAUGUAACCUGGGCCAUGGUAGGAAAUUUUGACAUCUUGUUUGCGACUGGAUGCGCACACUGUGCACUCGCCGCGUGUCAGCGCGUGCCGAACGUACCGUUAAUGCAUUAGGCCGUAGACGACGUCUUUGCUGCGCGUGGGCGUGCUCUCCCGGACCGCGCCGCGGUUCUGCCGCAGUCUUCGCAUCGGUGCGAGCGCACAGUCUGACGCACGCCACAGACCACGCCGCUCCUGCGCACUGUCCUGUUUUCUCGUCGCUCUGCCGAGGGUCCACGCAGCCUCACCGCCGCACGCAGAUGUCGCUGCCGCCGCCCCGUCAUCUCGACGUCCGGCGCUGCGCCGUACCGCUAGUCCGCCGACACCAUCGCCUUCGCCGCUGCCUCCGCCGAUACACGACGUUGAUGUGGGUUUGUCACCGAAGAACUACCGACGCCGUCACUGAUGCAGCGCGGAUGAGUUGAGCACGAGUAAAUGAAGUACCAAGGCGCACGAGGAUUCGCAUUUGGAACAGAGGUGUGCUGAUUCAGUAACAUUAACGACGUUAGGAAGUUCCAUAAGGAAACACAUAAGAGUGCAAGCAACAGUUUAAACAGAUACGAGGAAACAGUUUUUUUGUAACAAGAGUCAAGAAGCAGUGACAACAUGAGAUGUAAAGACGAAUAAGUACCCUCAGAGGAGGCAGAUACUUUUAAAGUACCUUCACAAGUUCCAGAGUUUGAGAAAUAAAAGAUAGGAGGAAGUUGCAUCAGAAUUAAUUAUAGGAUGAGUUGACUACGCCCACUACUGCUCUGGCUACUAAUGACAUUUAUUGUGUUUAGAGUAAGGUUCUUGAGCCAUGCCUCACUAUUUGUGCAUUUUUGUGUGUUAGAUCUUAUGUAUUUUGGUGUGUAAGAGUGACAGUUUUCCACUCCCUCUGAGCUUGUCCAUAGAGAUAAAUGCAUUUUCUAUCAUCUGAAUACAGAUAAUUAAUGAAAGGUACUGCCGUAAUGCAGCUAGAUACUGCACAGCAUGAGCGAACAUGUGUUGAUAAAAGCAGGUAGCGUGCGCCAAUUCUUAUUUGUUCAGUUAUAAACAACAUUGUUAGGAAAAACCUUCCCUCUAACUUUAAAGUUACUCCUCCCGUUGUGAAUGAUACAGUGAUUCAUUGGUCCCCUUGGGAACGUUCAUACCUUGUUAGGGUGUUUGAUUUGAAAUGGAACUUUUGCACCAUGAGGCGAACUGCCACAUCGCCCAUUGAUUUGGAUCACGGCAGCAAUUCUAAUCAGGCAUGAGGCAGAGUAGAUUAUUUCCACAAUAACUAACAGUAGAAGUAGUAGCAGAAGUAGCUAACUGCGUCAAGGGGAGUUUAUGAUGGUUCAUUCUACUAAUAACACCACAACAUUGCGCUAGAGGCACCAUUCGGGAUAAUAUCAACUUACCAUAACAUCACUGAGUGAUAAUUACGCUUGAUACUGAUGGAAUGGUUAAUUUUAGUGACACUGCAUUUGCUGGAAUGAACUACUGGUAAUAAGGUUCCUUACGCUACUGGCGGGGCUCGGUGUGCGUGUAUCCGUUCUGCCAAUGAAAGUCUGGUGAAUAAAACCCGUAACCGCUACA